This 500-nucleotide ribosomal RNA is filed under the name uncultured bacterium. RNAcentral describes it as "partial 16S ribosomal RNA". It matches the Rfam family "Bacterial small subunit ribosomal RNA", at positions 29 to 523 of the family's 1533-position model. The record is from RNAcentral.
AUUGAACGCUGGCGGCAUGCCUUACACAUGCAAGUCGAACGGCAGCACGGGAGCAAUCCUGGUGGCGAGUGGCGAACGGGUGAGUAAAGUAUCGGAACGUGCCCAGUCGUGGGGGAUAACGUAGCGAAAGUUACGCUAAUACCGCAUACGAUCUAUGGAUGAAAGCGGGGGAUCGCAAGACCUCGCGCGAUUGGAGCGGCCGAUAUCGGAUUAGGUAGUUGGCGGGGUAAAGGCUCACCAAGCCGACGAUCUGUAGCUGGUCUGAGAGGACGACCAGCCACACGGGGACUGAGACACGGCCCAGACUCCUACGGGAGGCAGCAGUGGGGAAUUUUGGACAAUGGGCGAAAGCCUGAUCCAGCCAUGCCGCGUGCAGGAUGAAGGCCUUAGGGUUGUAAACUGCUUUUGUACGGAACGAAAAGGUUUGGCCUAAUAAGCUGAGCUCAUGACGGUACCGUAAGAAUAAGCACCGGCUAACUACGUGCCAGCCGCCGCGGUAA